RNAcentral lists this ribosomal RNA (700 nucleotides) under Bacillus sp. HPC 638. RNAcentral's name for it is "bacterial SSU rRNA". It matches the Rfam family "Bacterial small subunit ribosomal RNA", at positions 25 to 714 of the family's 1533-position model. The record is from RNAcentral. Lineage: Bacteria; Bacillati; Bacillota; Bacilli; Caryophanales; Bacillaceae.
CUGUAGUCGUUACGCGGUGUGCCUAGUUUUGCACGUGGAGCGGAUGACGUGGAGCUUGCUCCUCUGAUUUAGCGGCGGACGGGUGAGUAACACGUGGGCAACCUGCCCUGCAGACUGGGAUAACUUCGGGAAACCGGAGCUAAUACCGGAUAAUCCAUUUUACUUCAUGGUGAAAUGUUGAAAGGCGCUUUCGCGCCACUGCAGGAUGGGCCCGCGGUGCAUUAGCUAGUUGGUGGGGUAACGGCCUACCAAGGCGACGAUGCAUAGCCGACCUGAGAGGGUGAUCGGCCACAUUGGGACUGAGACACGGCCCAAACUCCUACGGGAGGCAACAGUAGGGAAUCUUCCACAAUGGACGAAAGUCUGAUGGAGCAACGCCGCGUGAGUGAUGAAGGUUUUCGGAUCGUAAAACUCUGUUGUAAGGGAAGAACAAAGUACGUUAGGAAAUGAACGUACCUUGACGGUACCUUAUUAGAAAGCCACGGCUAACUACGUGCCAGCAGCCGCGGUAAUACGUAGGUGGCAAGCGUUGUCCGGAUUUAUUGGGCGUAAAGCGCGCGCAGGUGGUUUCUUAAGUCUGAUGUGAAAUCUCGCGGCUCAACCGCAGCGGUCAUUGGAAACUGGGGAACUUGAGUGCAAAAAGGAUAGUGAAUUUCCAGUGGUAGCGGUGAAAUGCGAAAAAUUUGGAAGACACCCAGUG